RNAcentral lists this ribosomal RNA (492 nucleotides) under uncultured bacterium. RNAcentral's name for it is "partial 16S ribosomal RNA". It matches the Rfam family "Bacterial small subunit ribosomal RNA", at positions 29 to 507 of the family's 1533-position model. The record is from RNAcentral.
AGUGAACGCAGGCGGUAGGCCUAACACAUGCAAGUCGAACGGCAGCACAGUAAGAGCUUGCUCUUACGGGUGGCGAGUGGCGGACGAGUGAGGAAUACAUCGGAAUCUACUUUUUCGUGGGGGAUAACGUAGGGAAACUUACGCUAAUACCGCAUACGACCUACGGGUGAAAGCAGGGGAUCUUCGGACCUUGCGCGAUUGAAUGAGCCGAUGUCGGAUUAGCUAGUUGGCGGGGUAAAGGCCCACCAAGGCGACGAUCCGUAGCUGGUCUGAGAGGAUGAUCAGCCACACUGGAACUGAGACACGGUCCAGACUCCUACGGGAGGCAGCAGUGGGGAAUAUUGGGCAAUGGGCGCAAGCCUGAUCCAGCCAUACCGCGUGGGUGAAGAAGGCCUUCGGGUUGUAAAGCCCUUUUGUUGGGAAAGAAAAGCAGCAGGUUAAUACCCCGCUGUUCUGACGGUACCCAAAGAAUAAGCACCGGCUAACUUCGUG